UUGAACGCUGGCGGCAUGCUUUACACAUGCAAGUCGAACGGUAGACCCUUUCGGGGAUAGUGGCGCACGGGUGCGUAACGCGUGGGAAUCUGCCCUUGGGUUCGGAAUAACUUCGGGAAACUGAAGCUAAUACCGGAUGAUGACGAAAGUCCAAAGAUUUAUCGCCCAGGGAUGAGCCCGCGUAGGAUUAGCUAGUUGGUGGGGUAAAGGCUCACCAAGGCAACGAUCCUUAGCUGGUCUGAGAGGAUGAUCAGCCACACUGGGACUGAGACACGGCCCAGACUCCUACGGGAGGCAGCAGUAGGGAAUAUUGGACAAUGGGCGAAAGCCUGAUCCAGCAAUGCCGCGUGAGUGAUGAAGGCCUUAGGGUUGUAAAGCUCUUUUACCCGAGAUGAUAAUGACAGUAUCGGGAGAAUAAGCUCCGGCUAACUCCGU
RNAcentral lists this ribosomal RNA (435 nucleotides) under uncultured bacterium. Its description in RNAcentral is "bacterial SSU rRNA". It matches the Rfam family "Bacterial small subunit ribosomal RNA", at positions 30 to 506 of the family's 1533-position model. The record is from RNAcentral.